Molecule: long non-coding RNA, 2600 nt
Filed under: Bemisia tabaci
Lineage: Eukaryota; Metazoa; Arthropoda; Insecta; Hemiptera; Aleyrodidae
Description: lncRNA ENSSSA3NGG012694
Source: RNAcentral
AUGCUACCACUCAGCGCCUUCUUGGAGGAUACCGCUCAGGCGCAGGCAAAGGCCCCAGUCCAAGAAGACGUAAUCGAGAGUGUUUCAGUGGAGGAAAAACGGCCGGCCAGCGAGGAAUCGACUGAGAGUAACGAGGUCUUCGUCUCCUUCCGGAGCCCAAUGUUCGCGGAUAAAUCUCUCUCGAAGAUGCUCAGCCACAAGGAUAAGUUUGGCAAAUCCACCAAGAAGUCCUCCGAUCCUAAAGCCGAACCAGAACCAAUCGUCAAGUACAUCACCUUCUCCGACAAUAAUUGGUUAUCCGACUUCCCGAAGAAGAUAGACGUCGCGGCCGCGAAGGAAGAGGACAAUGACUCCCUUAUGGCAGUCGAAGAACCCAUCCCAGCAAGUUUCAUCCCCUACGGACACACCCUCGAAGCGGAGACACCCGCGUCGAGACGCGAGAAGUACAAGAUCUUCACCGACGCCGUCUUCGGGCGACGCAACAUCUCCAGCAGCGACUCCUCUUACACGGACGCCAACAACUUGGCGCGCUCGAGGCCCGCCCGGCACAUCGACCUCAAGGCCAAGGAAGAGGCUCGCGAGAACUCAGUCCGCAAGACCCCCAAAUUGAGCGACAGCAUGUCCAAGUUGGGCCAAUUCCUCGACGAGAACAGGAUCCACCACAUACGCAAAGAGAGGAUACAGAAGACCCAUGCCGAUGCCCCGAUAUUCGAAGAGCUAGAGAGCCAGGAGGCAGUCCCUGUCAGCACCUUCAAGAGCGAGGGCCUCAAGAGACUGAACACCAUCGACACGAAGCACAAGGUGGAGCCAGAACACAAACGAAAACCAAGGGGUUUAUCUUUGCAAGACGAGUUCUUCAUGAAGCUACUCCUUGAUCUGGAUCUCUACGAACGUAUGGAGGAUGAUCAGAAACCGAAGGCUCGAGGAACAAAAGAGAAAUCGCCCAGAGCGGGAAAUCGAACUCCAACGCUCUCAAAAGCACCUACGACGAGUCGAAAGACAACAUCUUGAGGAUUAUCCGGGAGGAGCGUGGAAGCAAGGUCAACGGUGGCAGACCGAAGAGAGCUCUCUCUGAUGAGCAAAAAGCUAAGCUUGAGAGCUAUUUGAGCGAGGUCAGAGAGAAGUACGCUGUUGCUGCCGCUGCUGCGAAGAACAAGAGUGGAGAAAAGGUCUCAAGAGGCAAGCCUGAGAAGGUUAGUUUCGCGAGAGUAGAGAAACUGAGCUAUGCGAGAGGUGGCGCAAAAGAAGAGAAGGUUGGUCGCGCCAGAGGAGAACCCAAAGAGGAGAGGGUUGGUCGUGCGAGGGUACCACCCAGGGAGGAAAGAAUUGGCUAUGCCCGAAGACAGCAGGAGGAGAAGGUUGGUUACGCUAAGGACUCUGCAAAGGAAGAGAAGACACCGAAGGAAGACAACCUUGGAUCCGCCUAUGACGCGCCAAAAGGGGAGAAAGAAGCGACGCUGGAAGAAAGAAUCAGCGCUGCCAGGGAAGCUGCCUUAGAGGAGAAACUAACCCGAGAGGCAGCACGAGAGGAGAAGCUCAAUUCCAUCAGGGAGGCUAAAGAAGACAAGCUUGGACACCCGAAAGACGUAGAGCAAGAGGAGAAGCCAACGGAAACACCGAAGGAAGAAAAGGUUGGCAAGGCAUCGACGAAAGGAGAAAAGGUUGCUUACGCCAGAGGAGCACCAAAGGAGGACAGACUAGGCUAUGCUAGGAGAGUGGGUGCCGAAGAAAAGAUUGGUUCCACGGGGCAGGCUCCGAAGGAGGAGAAGAAAGAAGCCAAAGAGGAUAAAGUUUCGCGCCCAAGAGUUGGAUCCACGAAAGAAGAGGAAAAGGAUGAAUCGGAAGAACCAAUUGUGUCUCCGAUCAAGUCACGUCACGGAGUAGAAGGAACCCUCGGCGAGAUUGCUCAGAUCAGUAGAGAGAAAAUCAUGCAGGCCGUGAAAGAGAAGGCAGAAAAUUUGAUAUCAAGCAUGAGGAACAAAGAGGCCACUCAAAGCGUCGCUGCGAAAGAGGCUAAAGAGGAAACUCCUGAGACGAAGGUUGAGGACAAACCCGCGAAAUCUGAGCCUGCGGUCGGUGCCAGCAAGAAAGAAUCAGAAAAAUCGUCCAAGGAAGAAUCGGCUACCGGCGCUGCUGAACGCAUAGGAUCGCCAAGAGUUCGAUCAUCAAGGGUGCGAGCUCAAACUCCGAAGGCAGGUGACGAGAAAGAGACCGAGAAGAAGGAGGGAGAGGCUAACAAAGUUGGAAAAGAGCGAGAGUCAAAGGUCGGCAAGGAACGGGAGUCCAAGGUCGGCAAAGAACGGGAAUCUAAGGUCGGCAAGGAACGGGAGUCCAAGGUCGGCAAAGAACGCGAAUCCAAGGUUGGCAAAGAAAAGGAAUCAAAGGCGGCAAAGAGGACGACGAGAAGACAGAAACGGAGAAAGUGGGUAGCCAGCACUACAAAGUAGGCAGCGAGCGCGAGGACAAAUCAGAGCACGAGAAAGAAAAAUCUGAAUCAGUCGCAUCCGAGAAAUCCGCCGUCGCCGCAACGGAAGCCCAACCGGCAACGUCGAACAGCGAGCAGCCAGCUGAGACUGCGAAGCCGUCACGUUUGGGUAAAU